This is a non-coding RNA of Parelaphostrongylus tenuis, 71 nucleotides long. The record is from the annotation of a GenBank genome assembly. Lineage: Eukaryota; Metazoa; Nematoda; Chromadorea; Rhabditida; Metastrongylidae.
ACCUCGUUGGUGUAGUGGUAGCACACGUCACUGGUAUGAAUGAAACGCGGGUUCGACUCGCGUUUGGGGUC